Molecule: ribosomal RNA, 254 nt
Filed under: uncultured bacterium
Lineage: Bacteria
Description: partial 16S ribosomal RNA
Rfam family: Bacterial small subunit ribosomal RNA
Source: RNAcentral
UACGAGGGGGGGCAAGCGUUGUUCGGAAUUAUUGGGCGUAAAGAGCGCGCAGGCGGUAUGACAAGUCAGAUGUGAAAGUCCGGGGCUCAACUCCGGAUCUGCGGUGGGUACGGGCAGACUAGAGUGAUGUAGGGGAGACUGGAAUUCCUGGUGUAGAGGUGAAAUUCGUAGAUAUUCGGAAGAACACCAGUGGCGAAGGCGACUUACUGGACACAUAUUGACGCUGAGGUGCGAAAGCGUGGGGAGCAAACAGG